This 459-nucleotide ribosomal RNA is filed under the name uncultured bacterium. RNAcentral describes it as "partial 16S ribosomal RNA". It matches the Rfam family "Bacterial small subunit ribosomal RNA", at positions 338 to 795 of the family's 1533-position model. The record is from RNAcentral.
CCUACGGGAGGCAGCAGUGAGGAAUAUUGGUCAAUGGGCGGGAGCCUGAACCAGCCAAGCCGCGUGAGGGAAGAAGGUACAGCGUAUCGUAAACCUCUUUUGUCAGGGAACAAAGGCGGGGACUAGUCCCCGGAUGAGGGUACCUGAAGAAAAAGCAUCGGCUAACUCCGUGCCAGCAGCCGCGGUAAUACGGAGGAUGCGAGCGUUAUCCGGAUUUAUUGGGUUUAAAGGGUGCGCAGGCGGCCUGUUAAGUCAGCGGUAAAAGCCCGGGGCUCAACCCAGGCGAGCCGUUGAAACUGGCGGGCUUGAGUUGGAGAGAAGUACGCGGAAUGCGCGGUGUAGCGGUGAAAUGCUUAGAUAUCGCGCAGAACCCCGAUUGCGAAGGCAGCGUACCGGCUCCACACUGACGCUGAGGCACGAAAGCGUGGGUAUCGAACAGGAUUAGAUACCCCAGUAGUC